GACGAACGCUGGCGGCGUGCUUAACACAUGCAAGUCGAACGGAAAGGCCUCAGCUUGCUGGGGUACUCGAGUGGCGAACGGGUGAGUAACACGUGGGUGAUCUGCCUUGCACUCUGGGAUAAGCUUGGGAAACUGGGUCUAAUACCGGAUAUGAACUGCCUUUAGUGUGGUGGUUGGAAAGUUUUUUCGGUGCAAGAUGAGCUCGCGGCCUAUCAGCUUGUUGGUGGGGUAAUGGCCUACCAAGGCGUCGACGGGUAGCCGGCCUGAGAGGGUGUACGGCCACAUUGGGACUGAGAUACGGCCCAGACUCCGACGGGAGGCAGCAGUGGGGAAGAUUGCAGGAUGGGCGGAAGCCUGAUGCAGCGACGCCGCGUGGGGGAUGACGGCCUUCGGGUUGUAAACUCAUUUCGACAGGGACGAAGCUUUUUGUGACGGUACCUGUAGAAGAAGCACCGGCUAACUACGUG
RNAcentral lists this ribosomal RNA (467 nucleotides) under uncultured bacterium. Its description in RNAcentral is "partial 16S ribosomal RNA". It matches the Rfam family "Bacterial small subunit ribosomal RNA", at positions 28 to 507 of the family's 1533-position model. The record is from RNAcentral.